RNAcentral lists this transfer RNA (68 nucleotides) under Sepioloidea lineolata. RNAcentral describes it as "tRNA-Gln". Lineage: Eukaryota; Metazoa; Mollusca; Cephalopoda; Sepiida; Sepiadariidae. The record is from RNAcentral.
UACAUUGUGGUGUAAGUGCACAUAAAUUUUUGGAUUUUAGGGAAAAAGAUCUAAUCUUUUUUUUGUAA